RNAcentral lists this ribosomal RNA (906 nucleotides) under uncultured Mycoplasma sp. Its description in RNAcentral is "bacterial SSU rRNA". It matches the Rfam family "Bacterial small subunit ribosomal RNA", at positions 87 to 990 of the family's 1533-position model. The record is from RNAcentral. Lineage: Bacteria; Bacillati; Mycoplasmatota; Mollicutes; Mycoplasmatales; Mycoplasmataceae.
AUACCUUAGCGGCGAAUGGGUGAGUAACACGUACUCAACGUACCCUUCAGUUUGGGAUAGCGGUUGGAAACAACCGAUAAUACCAAAUACCCGUAUUUUCGCAUGAGAGAUACGUAAAAGAUGCGUUGCAUCGCUGGAGGAGCGGGGUGCGCAACAUUAGCUAGUUGGUGAGGUAACGGCCCACCAAGGCGAUGAUGUUUAGCGGGGUUGAGAGACUGAUCCGCCACACUGGGACUGAGAUACGGCCCAGACUCCUACGGGAGGCAGCAGUAGGGAAUAUUCCACAAUGGGCGAAAGCCUGAUGGAGCGACACAGCGUGCAGGAUGAAGGUCCUUGGAUUGUAAACUGCUGUGGCAAAGGAAGAAAAAGCAGAAUAGGAAAUGAUUUUGCCUUGACGGUACUUUGCUAGAAAGCAACGGCUAACUAUGUGCCAGCAGCCGCGGUAAUACAUAGGUUGCAAGCGUUAUCCGGAAUUAUUGGGCGUAAAGCGUCUGUAGGUUGUUUGUUAAGUCUGGCGUUAAAACUUGGGGCUCAACCCCAAAUCGCGUUGGAUACUGGCAGACUAGAGUUAUGUAGAGGUUAGCGGAAUUCCUUGUGAAGCGGUGAAAUGCGUAGAUAUAAGGAAGAACACCAACAUGGCGAAGGCAGCUAACUGGACAUACACUGACACUGAGAGACGAAAGCGUGGGGAGCAAACAGGAUUAGAUACCCUGGUAGUCCACGCCCUAAACGAUGAUCAUUAGCUGAUGGAAAAUUCAUCGGCGCAGCUAACGCAUUAAAUGAUCCGCCUGAGUAGUACGUUCGCAAGAAUAAAACUUAAAGGAAUUGACGGGGAUCCGCACAAGCGGUGGAGCAUGUGGUUUAAUUUGAAGAUACGCGUAGAACCUUACCCACUCUUGACAUCUU